CACACACAUACACACACACUCACACACACAGACACACACACACUCACACACACACUCACACACACAGACACACACACACAGAGGAGAAACAGACAGACAGAGACAAAAGAGACAUAAAAUAGAGAUGCACACAGAGAAAUAGACAGAGAGGGUAGAUGGGGGUGCCCAGAAAAUGAAGGUGACUGACCAAGCUUCCACACAGAAACCUUGAACUCAAGGCUAAGUGAAGCCAGCCAGCUCCAAGAAGACGAAUGCUGAAACUCUACCUACAUGAGGUCAUUCAACCAGUCAAAUUCAUAGAGAGAGAAUGAGCAGGACUCAGUGUUUAAUGGAGACAGUUUCUGUUUGGGAAGACAGGAAGGUUCUAGAGGUGCGCGCUGAAGUGGGCUCAGCACUGAUUCAUGCCACCGAGCCAGCGUCCAGAUGGUGCAGAGGGUUUUAAUGUGGUCUACAUCUCUUACACAUUUAACAGUGUAACCUAAACCUGCUUGUUUGCUCCCUCCAAGCACUUCCUGCAUUUACUGCCCUCCUUGUGAGGUGACCCUUUCCUCUCCAUGCCCCAUGCACUCUGAGAGUGUGUCAUUGACGCCCAGUUGUAUCUGGGUAGCCCUGUGCUUAAACCUGCAGCACACUGUAGUGAACGCUGUAUGCUGGGGCCUCAGUGGAGAGGAGAAAGGCUGGUGCCAUCUCCAGCAUGUCCCCGUGAUGACACUCCCCUCCCAGGGUACCUGGUUUUCGAUAUCUACCUUCAUGUUGGCCACUGGUAGCGAGCUCUUCAGACGGUACUUCCCAUCCUUCUGGGGGUGCGUGUACAGGAGCGUGUCAUUCAUCUGCAGAGAAGGCACCCACUCAGUCACACCAGUCCUAGCCCUGAAGACUGCAGCAAGCGCUACACAUAGCAGGUCCCUGGGCUCUGGGGUGCAGGCACCUGGCAGUCCUCUGUGACACCGUGGCAAGGAGCAAAGCCGUACUGUGAACACAUCAUGACAACUCUACUCCUACAGGGAUGCUCAAGGGGACUUGGCACAUUUGCCAAUGCUCUGGACCAAGUGUCAGAGAAGCUUUAUGUAAAGUAGCCCCAAAGGGGGAACUAACCAAAAGUCCUUGACAGUUGACGGAUAAAGAAUGCACGGUCCGGAUGGAUUGUGAAAUACCACACAACAACCCAGAGGAGCAGGCUGCCAGACUGUCGCCACGUGAUAGGGUCACAGGCAUUCUGAGGGAGAAGGCCAGAUACCAUGGUCGUGAGCCACCAUGUGGUCGCUGGGAUUUGAACUCAGGACCUUGGAAGAACAGUCGGUGCUCUUAACUACUGAGCCAUCUCUCCAGCCCUUUAAAGACAUGGCACUUUAACUCCUCUUCUUUUUAAUUUUUUUUUUCAUUUUAUGGGGAUUGGCACUUUGCCUACAUGUAUGCCUGGGUGAGGAUGUUGGAUGCUGGAGCUGGAAUUACAGACGGUUGUGAGCUGCCAUGCAGGAGCUGGGAAUCAAAGCCCGGUCCUUUGGAAGAGCACCCAGUGCUUGCUCUUAGCUACUGAGCCAUCAUCGCUCCAGGCAGACAUGCUAUUUCUUAAAGAAAAAAAAAUCAUGGGAACACACAUCCAAAACCAAGUUAGGUUGUGGGUUGGGUCGGCUGAGAAGAUAGCUCAGCAGAGGACACCAGCUGCUAUCCACAGGACCUGGGGUUGAGGCCCCAUAACCGUAUACCAUGUGUAACUUCAGUUCCAGGGGAUCCAAUGACCUCUCCUGGUCUCCACAGGCUCCAGACACACAUGAGGGACAUAGACUUACAUGCAGGCAAAACACCCAUAUACACAGAAUAAUAAUAAAUAGUGGAAAUUUUAAAAUACUAAA
Non-coding RNA from Rattus norvegicus (Norway rat), 1853 nucleotides. NCBI's taxonomy places the organism in Eukaryota, Metazoa, Chordata, Mammalia, Rodentia, Muridae. The record is from RefSeq and is a predicted model, not a curated record.